Molecule: ribosomal RNA, 375 nt
Filed under: Triticum aestivum (bread wheat)
Lineage: Eukaryota; Viridiplantae; Streptophyta; Magnoliopsida; Poales; Poaceae
Description: partial small subunit ribosomal RNA
Source: RNAcentral
CAGUCGCAGGCUCGUGUAUCUGGGCUCCGUCGCCAACUUGGGGAGUGUCAGAAGCUUGACUCCACCGCCACUGAGUUCUACAACAAAGUCAAGAGUCUCACCGACACGCUGGCCUCCAUUGGACAGCCCCUCACCGACUCCGAGUUCAACUCGUUUAUUGUCAAUGGUCUUGAUGAGGAAUAUGACGCCCUAGUCGAGAUCAUCAAUGAGAGAGGCAACUCCACGCCCAUGCCAGCACACGAGGUCUUUUCACGCCUCCUGCUUACUGAGCAACGAGUCGAGACGCGCCGAUCCAGGGGCAACGGCGCCCUCUCGGCAAACGCCGCCACCAAGGGUGGUCACUCCUCUGCUUCAUCCAGGGCUCCUUCGGGGUAG